GAUCGAUUGCCGGUCGAUGGCA
Molecule: microRNA, 22 nt
Filed under: Spodoptera frugiperda (fall armyworm)
Lineage: Eukaryota; Metazoa; Arthropoda; Insecta; Lepidoptera; Noctuidae
Description: sfr-miR-10511-3p
Source: miRBase by way of RNAcentral